Molecule: transfer RNA, 75 nt
Filed under: Oscillochloris sp.
Lineage: Bacteria; Bacillati; Chloroflexota; Chloroflexia; Chloroflexales; Oscillochloridaceae
Description: tRNA-Pro
Rfam family: tRNA
About the family: Transfer RNA (tRNA) molecules are approximately 80 nucleotides in length.
Source: RNAcentral
CGGGAUGUGGUGUAGCGGCAGCAUCCUGGCAUCGGAAGCCAGUGGUCGCACGUUCGAAUCGUGCCAUCCCGACCA